CACGGACCACCAGUGAGUGGACUCUUUGUUUGUAUAAAUGAAUUUAAGCAGUUCAGUUACAGUAUUUGAUCUUGAAUAAGUUUUAUUCAAAGAUUAGUGUUUUAUAAGCUGUUAUCUGCUUUUAAAUAUUUUGUUUUGCCUGAUGCCGAGUGGAAUAUCCUUUAAAGGAUAUAGGAAAAGAAAUUCUAGCUAAUUAUCAGAUAAAUGGCAGCAGAGUUUUAGAGUUUACAGAAAUUCAGUUAGUCAACAGAUUUUCUUCAGAAACUUUAUAUUUUCU
This 277-nucleotide long non-coding RNA is filed under the name Prunus persica (peach). RNAcentral's name for it is "long non-coding RNA (PPER_LNC003716)". Lineage: Eukaryota; Viridiplantae; Streptophyta; Magnoliopsida; Rosales; Rosaceae. The record is from RNAcentral.